Molecule: ribosomal RNA, 506 nt
Filed under: uncultured bacterium
Lineage: Bacteria
Description: partial 16S ribosomal RNA
Rfam family: Bacterial small subunit ribosomal RNA
Source: RNAcentral
AUUGAACGCUGGCGGCAGGCCUAACACAUGCAAGUCGGACGGUAGCACAGAGGAGCUUGCUCCUCGGGUGACGAGUGGCGGACGGGUGAGUAACGUCUGGGAAACUGCCCGAUGGAGAGGGAUAACUACUGGAAACGGUAGCUAAUACCGCAUAACGUCGCAAGACCAAAGUGGGGGACCUUCGGGCCUCACACCAUCGGAUGUGCCCAGAUGGGAUUAGCUAGUAGGUGGGGUAAUGGCUCACCUAGGCGACGAUCCCUAGCUGGUCUGAGAGGAUGACCAGCCACACUGGAACUGAGACACGGUCCAGACUCCUACGGGAGGCAGCAGUGGGGAAUAUUGCACAAUGGGCGCAAGCCUGAUGCAGCCAUGCCGCGUGUAUGAAGAAGGCCUUCGGGUUGUAAAGUACUUUCAGCGGGGAGGAAGGCGGUGAAGUUAAUAGCUUCACCGAUUGACGUUACCCGCAGAAGAAGCACCGGCUAACUCCGUGCCAGCCGCCGCAGUAA